Molecule: ribosomal RNA, 253 nt
Filed under: uncultured bacterium
Lineage: Bacteria
Description: partial 16S ribosomal RNA
Rfam family: Bacterial small subunit ribosomal RNA
Source: RNAcentral
UACGUAGGCAGCGAGCGUUGUUCGGAGUUACUGGGCGUAAAGGGUGUGUAGGCGGUUGUUUAAGUUUGGUGUGAAAUCUCCCGGCUCAACUGGGAGGGUGCGGCGGAAACUGGAAUGCUAGAGGAUGGGAGAGGUAAGCGGAAUUCCUGGUGUAGCGGUGAAAUGCGUAGAUAUCAGGAGGAACACCUGUGGUGUAGACAGCUUACUGGACCAUUUCUGACGCUGAGACACGAAAGCGUGGGUAGCAAACAGG